Molecule: ribosomal RNA, 419 nt
Filed under: uncultured bacterium
Lineage: Bacteria
Description: bacterial SSU rRNA
Rfam family: Bacterial small subunit ribosomal RNA
Source: RNAcentral
GAACGCUCACCGGGGUUUCGGCUCUGGUGGGAGUGGCGCACGGGUGAGUAGCGCGUGGGAACCUGCCCUUUUGUGGGGGAUAACCGAGGGAAACUUCGGCUAAUACCGCAUGCGCCCCUGGGGCGACCUGGGGGGAAAGAUUGAUCGCAGAAGGAGGGGCCCGCGUCGGAUUAGGUAGUUGGUGGGGUAACGGCCUACCAAGCCGAUGAUCCGUAGCUGGUCUGAGAGGAUGAUCAGCCACACUAGGACUGAGACACGGCCCAGACUCCUACGGGAGGCAGCAGUGGGGAAUAUUGGACAAUGGGCGCAAGCCUGAUCCAGCAAUGCCGCGUGAGUGAUGAAGGCCUUCGGGUUGUAAAGCUCCUUCACCCGCGACGAUGAUGACGGUAGCGGGAGAAGAAGCCCCGGCUAACUUCGUG